AUACGGAGGAUCCGAGCGUUAUCCGGAUUUAUUGGGUUUAAAGGGUGCGCAGGCGGGAGAUUAAGUCGGCGGUGAAAUUUUGCAGCUCAACUGGUAAAGGGCCUUCAAAACUGGUUUCCUUGAGGGUAGAUGGAGUAGGCGGAAUUUGUGGUGUAGCGGUGAAAUGCAUAGAUAUCACGAGGAACUCCGAUUGCGCAGGCAGCUUACUAAACUACUACUGACGCUCAGGCACGAAGGCGUGGGGAUCAAACAGGAUUAGAUACCCUGGUAGUCCACGCAGUAAACGAUGAUUACUAGCUGUUUGCGAUACAAUGUAAGCGGCUGAGCGAAAGCGUUAAGUAAUCCACCUGGGGAGUACGUUCGCAAGAAUGAAACUCAAAUGAAUUGACGGGG
Molecule: ribosomal RNA, 393 nt
Filed under: uncultured bacterium
Lineage: Bacteria
Description: partial 16S ribosomal RNA
Rfam family: Bacterial small subunit ribosomal RNA
Source: RNAcentral